GACGCGCGCGCGAAGAAAGAUAAAAACGGUGGCGGCGGCGGCGUCGGUGGAGGCGGCGGCGGUGACGGCUAAAACGACGGCGACGAUGAUGGCUCUGCGAUGAGUACGAGUUCAGUUCAACUACAUCUACCCGUCGGCGCACACGUGUUCCAGCCAUUGAACAUUGCGGGAUUCAAUUUUAUAAUUUCAAACAAUUUUUUCAAAUUAUUUUUUUCCCGCCAAUAUUGACGAGACGCUCAUAACAUCAUUUUCACAUAUUAUUUUCAUUGAUUAUACAAUAUUAUAAUUAUAUAUACCUACACGAUGUGCAGCAGUAUAGGAAAUAGCGUGUCGUUGUGCUCGAAAAUCGACCGAACGAAGAACCACCGAAGCUGCCAGCCUGGAUUAGACGGUUCUAACAGCCGACCUAGACCUAUAACGGCUGUUCAAAAUUGAAGGAAUAGCGCUUUUCAAAAUCAAAUCGACCUGCACAUUAUGCAAUACGCGGAUUUCCGUCACAUCGGAACUAAAAUGAAGACUUCGACCGAUAUAACCAUCAACAGGCCGAAACCAUUGUUUCCAAAACCUAGUUGCUAAAUAACCAUGAUUUAUUAUAUUAAUAAAUCUAAUGUAUAUAAUUAAAUAUAAGCACUUUUCUUCCCUUGGUAGUUCGAAAUGAAAGUUUCAAGAACAACCCCUACUACGUUUCAGUUAGGCAAACAAACUAACUUUUUGUAUUUUUUACUCGGUACCUGAAAUAAGUUUGCCUUUCGUACGGGGUUGAUUGAAAUCUUACUUAUAUUGUGCUACUAUUACUAUCUUUCAUUACAUUUUGUCUGUAAUUAUUUUUAUAUUUAUUUAAAUACAUUUUCAUAUAUAUGUAUAUUAUGUCAUUGAUGUAUAAGAAAUAUAAUAAUAAUUAAUAAUCAUCUUUUAAAUAUAUUAUAUUGUAAACCAAUAUAAAAUAGAUUUUAUACAAACUAUGUUUAAAAAAAUAAAUAUUAUUAUGUUUAAUUGAUUAAUACAUAUUUGUAUAAUAUAUAUAUUUAAAAUGAAAUUUUUUAAUAAAACUCAUGUAUGUAACAAU
Rhopalosiphum padi (bird cherry-oat aphid) is the source of this 1066-nucleotide long non-coding RNA. RefSeq lists it as uncharacterized. The record is from RefSeq and is a predicted model, not a curated record. The transcript is spliced from 3 exons. NCBI's taxonomy places the organism in Eukaryota, Metazoa, Arthropoda, Insecta, Hemiptera, Aphididae.